AUGGGGGCAACCCCGACGAGGGAAAGCCAAGUGCCAGCACAAUGUGCUGGCUGUUUUCCUGUCUAAAAAACAGGGAGAGUAAGGGCUGGGUAAGACGGGUGCCAGCCGCCGCGGUAAUACCUGCAGCCCAAGUGGUGCUCGUUAUUAUUGGGUCUAAAACGUCCGUAGUCGGUUGAGUAGAUGCCCGGGUAAAUCGCAGCGCUCAACGUUGCGAAUUCCGGGUAGACCGCUCGACUAGGGAGUGGGAGAGGUGCAUAGUACUCUGAGGGUAGGGGUAAAAUCCUGUAAUCCUUGGGGGACUACCAGUGGCGAAGGCGAUGCACUAGAACACGUCCGACGAUCAGGGACGAAGCCCUGGGGCGCAAACGGGAUUAGAUACCCGCGUAGUCC
RNAcentral lists this ribosomal RNA (390 nucleotides) under uncultured archaeon. RNAcentral's name for it is "bacterial SSU rRNA". It matches the Rfam family "Archaeal small subunit ribosomal RNA", at positions 355 to 747 of the family's 1478-position model. The record is from RNAcentral.